RNAcentral lists this long non-coding RNA (2822 nucleotides) under Marmota monax (woodchuck). The record is from RNAcentral. Lineage: Eukaryota; Metazoa; Chordata; Mammalia; Rodentia; Sciuridae.
GCUGUUGGACUUAAUCUUUCAGUGCAUAUCUUUGUAGUUCUGCUCACUUGUCAAAUUGUGACUAUGAUCCACUAGCACAUCUGAUUUAGGUGAGCUGUGUUAUUCUACAUGCAUACAGAAUACACUUGUUGCAAUUUCUACCUGAAAUGUUUCCCCUAACUUCAGAAAUCAGAGGGUACCUUGAUUAAUGAAAAAAUAAACAGGUCUCCAGCAGCAAAGAAGCCUCCCCCAGUGAUAUAUGGGGUGCCCAGGCAAUAGUCACGCUUGCAGUUUGAGCCCAUCUGUUUUUUCUGUUCACCUCCUGAGUACUGUCCCCUUGUGGUUUGCAUCAUUCCCUGAGACCAGCCAACUCCAGCCCUCAAUUCACUCUUUCAAUAGCUGUUUUAUUUAAACACACUCCUCUCUUUGGAUGCCAGAUGUGAAGUUUCAAGGCAGCAGAGGCCAGGCUGGCCAGUGCUGUGACACCUGCUUUAGUAAGCAAGCCAGUCAGCUGCUGCUUCUGAUGAUGUUGGCCCUCUUUCAUGGACAGCAUGAGGGUUUCACCCCACCAAGUGCACACACAGGCAGCUGAGGGAGACUCAUAAAUUAUGGUUUUGUUUGUUUACUUCAGGCAGACAGCGUGGUGUAGUGGAAAGAGCCCUACACUUGGAAGCAGAAAGCAGAGGUUUGAGUGCUUGCUGGUUAUGUGACUUGUCCACAGAGCACCUUUCUCUUCAUAGCACUUUUCUUAGCUAUUAUUUCUCUAUUUGCUUAUUGGCCAUCCCCUCUCUCACAGUAUAAUCUCCAGGAAGGCAGGGAUUGUCUUGUCCAUCAUUCUAUCUCCAGCACCUAGGACAGUACCUGGAACAAAGUGAGUUCUUAGAAAAUAUUUAUCGAAUGAAUGAAGUUUAAAACUGCCUCUCCCAAUGUGGUUAGAGUAUCUAAUGGGGGACCUAACCACAUUGGGAAUUGUCAGUGAAGAUUUCCUGGUGAAAAUGGCACUUAAGUUCAGACUUUAGAGAUCAUGAGGUGUUGGUCAGGCAAAGAAUUUCAGGCAGAGGAACAGUGUAUGUGAAGGUCCUGGGUGGGCAUGUGGUUGGAGCACACUGAUCAACAGGGAGGUAGUGCUCAAAUUAAGGCUAGAGAGGUAACCUAGGCCAGAUGGCUCUUUCAGAGGCUUGUAGGCUGUGGCUAGGAAUUGUUAUUCUCAAGUCAAGGGGAAGUCAUUGAAGACAAUUCCUAUCAUUAUAGAGACCUCACUAGUUCAGACAAAAGGGAGAGCUGGACUAUUCCUUAAUGCCUGUUAAAAGUCAGUAGAAAACAGAGAUUCCCCCACCGUACUCAUGAAAAUAGGCCCAGGAAAGGUAGGUGACUUACCAAGUCUGUUGUGUAAGUAGUGGUAGAACUUGAUCCCUAAAAUUCUAAUCCACUUCUCAGUAACUCUAUCACAUUUUGGAGUUGAGAAAUUUUUUUUCCCCUCAAAUCCUUCAGAUGGCUAAAUUUUGGACCUAAAUGCCUUGUAAUAGUAACUCUUCUGAAAACAGAAUGUCUCCUAAGCAACUUGUAAGGAAAUAUGACAGAGAUAAAUUUCUCCGGAGCAUGAUGCUCACCUUUUGGGUAACUACAACCAAAUCUUUGAAGCAUGUUAGAUUAUUCUUAGGAUAGAUUCUUAGAAAUAGAAUUACUGUGUCAAAGGAUAUACAUUUACAGAAACUCUUGAUACCUGUUGCCAAAUUGCCCUCCCAAAGGUUGCAUCAGCUUUUAUGCUCAUCAUCAGUACAUAAGAAUGAUUUUCUCUAGAGGUUGGGGAUGUGGCUCAGUGGUAGAGAGCUUGCCUAGUGUGCGCAAGGGAGGCAUCUUGGUUGUGCAGAUGCUGCCACUCAGACUUGAUGUCCUUCCUAGAGACUUAAGCAAGGCCUGUAAAGCUGUUAGAACUUUUUUAAAUUGGGAGCCUUAAAAGUACCUAAAAAGUAAGAAAACUUCUCCAGCAGAAGCCGGGGUACAGAAAAAAGUGGCAAAUUAUCACCUCAAGCAAGGUUGAGAGAUUGACACGACAGUAUAGUAAUAAUACCACAGCAGCAGAUUUGGGGACUCAAGUCAGAGAUCUUGGUGAUUGUUACCCUCACACAUGACUUUGUCCCCAGAACUGAAGUGAUGGGCUUGUAUCUUUAUCUCCCACUGUUACCUGCCCAACAGAGUGGGUGCUGUAGCUGUUUUCAGUAGUUAGUUGUUAAUUCAGUAAUAUUUAAUGUGCUAGGAAGUGGAAAUAAAGUGAGGAUUAGGACAGUAUGGUUCAUGUUCCCACAGAAUAUUUGAUCUAGUGAGGCUUACCUAUAGGUCAAUAAGCAAUUGCAAUAACUUAAAAGAAGGGCUAGGAGAGGAGAAAUAUGGGGUAUUGUAAAAACAUAUAGCAGGUCCAACUCCAGGCUUUUUGAGUACGGCACGGCAAGAGCUUAAACCCCAAUUAGGACAGGGUGUAUAUACUGUGUUCACUGCUGUAUCCAAAGACCUUGACACGUGGUGGCUUCUCCAUAAACAUUUGAUGAAUGGAUGAAUAAAGUGGUAUUUAAAUUGAUUGGCCAGGGCUGGGGUUGUGGUUCAGCUAUAGUGCGCUCACCUAGCACAUGUAAGGUCCUGGAUUCAAUUCUCAGCACCAAAUAAAAGUAAGUAAACAAAAUAAAGGUAUUGUGUCCAACUACAACUAAAAAAUAAAUAUUUUUAUUUAUAAAAAGUAAGUUGGUAGGUCAAGUUGGAGAUAGGAAGAAUGUCCCAUACAGAGAUAAAGGCAAUGUAAAGAUCUGGGUAGAUGAAGAACAGUUCAUUGUACCUGAAGUAAGAUCAAG